This 497-nucleotide ribosomal RNA is filed under the name uncultured bacterium. Its description in RNAcentral is "partial 16S ribosomal RNA". It matches the Rfam family "Bacterial small subunit ribosomal RNA", at positions 28 to 507 of the family's 1533-position model. The record is from RNAcentral.
GAUGAACGCUGGCGGCGUGCCUAAUACAUGCAAGUCGAGCGAACAGACGAGGAGCUUGCUCCUCUGACGUUAGCGGCGGACGGGUGAGUAACACGUGUAUAACCUACCUAUAAGACUGGGAUAACUUCGGGAAACCGGAGCUAAUACCGGAUAAUAUAUUGAACCGCAUGGUUCAAUAGUGAAAGACGGUUUUGCUGUCACUUAUAGAUGGAUCCGCGCCGCAUUAGCUAGUUGGUAAGGUAACGGCUUACCAAGGCAACGAUGCGUAGCCGACCUGAGAGGGUGAUCGGCGACACUGGAACGGGGACAGGGUCCAGACUCCUACGGGAGGCAGCAGUAGGGAAUGUUCCGCAAUGGGCGGAAGCCUGACGGAGCAGCGCCGCGUGAGUGAUGGAGGUCUUCGGAUCGUAAAACUCUGUUAUUAGGGAAGAACAAAUGUGUAAGUAACUAUGCACGUCUUGACGGUACCUGAUCAGGAAGCCACGGCUAACUACGUG